Molecule: ribosomal RNA, 304 nt
Filed under: uncultured bacterium
Lineage: Bacteria
Description: partial 16S ribosomal RNA
Rfam family: Bacterial small subunit ribosomal RNA
Source: RNAcentral
CAGCAGCAGCCGCGGUAAUACGUAGGGUGCGAGCGUUAAUCGGAAUUACUGGGCGUAAAGCGUGCGCAGGCGGUGAUGUAAGACAGUUGUGAAAUCCCCGGGCUCAACCUGGGAACUGCAUUUGUGACUGGCAAGCUAGAGUGUGGCAGAGGGGGGUGGAAUUCCGCGUGUAGCAGUGAAAUGCGUAGAUAUGCGGAGGAACACCGAUGGCGAAGGCAGCCCCCUGGGCCAACACUGACGCUCAUGCACGAAAGCGUGGGGAGCAAACAGGAUUAGAUACCCCAGUAGUCCCUGUCUCUUAUAC